Triticum aestivum (bread wheat) is the source of this 135-nucleotide non-coding RNA. The record is from Rfam. Lineage: Eukaryota; Viridiplantae; Streptophyta; Magnoliopsida; Poales; Poaceae.
UUUGUACUCCCUCCAUCCCAAAAUUCUUGUCUUAAAUUUGUCUAAAUACGGAUGUAUCUAGUUACAUUUUAGUGUUAGAUACAUCCGUAUCUAAACAAAUGUAAGACAAGAAUUUUGGGAUGGAGGGAAUACUAC